CUUGUAAUCUCUGGUUCGCUCUGUCUACAUGUUUCGUAUGUCGGAUGCAAAGAACCGAAAGGCCCCAGACCAAUUUUGUGAGUGGCAGUAUGAAGAAAUGCCUGAGAACAAGUCUAAAAAAAGGGGACGUCCUCCUGGUGGAAGAAGAAUUCAUUCCAGUCCUGUCAACAGAGAUCAAGCUGCUUCAUCUUCUCAGUCAACCCAAGAUACUCUUUCCCAUCAAGCUUGUUCGUCUUCUCAGUCAACUAAAGAUGAAUUACCUGACAACAGAUCUAAAAAGAAAGAGGACGUCCUCCUGGUAGUAAAAACAAGAAAGACAUCGGUUGUCAAUUAUCAUCCAAAAGAAUAAGAAUGCAUUCCAGUCCUCACAACAGGGAUCAAGCUGCUUCGUCUCCUCAGUCAACCCAAGAUACCCUUUCCAAUCAAGUUUGUUCGUCUUCUCAGUCAACUCAAGAUGAAGUUCUGCCACAUUAAUCCCAUUCUGAACAGUACUCGUCAACUAGUGCUCCAACAAAGGAUCAAGCUGGUUUGUCUUCUCAGUCAACUCAAGAUGAAUCUCUGACCCAUCAAGCUGGUUUGUCUUCUCAGUCAUUUCAAGAUGAAUCUCUGACUCAUCAAGCUGGUUUGUCUUCUCAGUCAACUCAAGAUGAAUCUCUGACCCAUCAAUCUGGUUCGUCUUCUCAGUCAACUCAAGAUGAAUCUCUGACACGUCAAGCCCAUCCUCAACAGUACUCGUCAACUAGUGCUCCAAUAAAGGAUCAAGCUGCUUCGUCUACUCAGUCUAUUGGAGGACUAGAAUACAAUUCCAUGCUCCGUUUACCUCUUUAAACAUGGGAUCAUCAGUCGCCAGUUGAAUGCCAUGGUCAACCAUUUCCACCAAUUCGUUCUGGAAACUUUGAAACAGCGAGUACAUCCAUGGACCCUCGUGAACUCUAUUUUGAUCUGUGGGUUUCUUACAACGAUAAUGAAAUGUGAAUUUCUGCAAUGGUGUUUCUUGAAAAACUUUCCAAAGUGCACUGUGCCAAUUUUAUUCUAAAAAAAAUGUCGAUGACCAAAGAUUGGAACCAGACGACUGCAACUUCGAUUGAUUCAUUUUAACUGCCCCUGUCCUAUAUUUUCGUCAUAUUUUUGUCACUGCAUUUUAAUUAUAAUACAAAAGAAUUUUUUCCGUA
This 1172-nucleotide long non-coding RNA is filed under the name Daphnia pulicaria. RNAcentral's name for it is "uncharacterized LOC124335758, transcript variant X3". The record is from RNAcentral. Lineage: Eukaryota; Metazoa; Arthropoda; Branchiopoda; Diplostraca; Daphniidae.